AUAUCAAUAAGCGGAGGAAAAGAAACUAACAAGGAUUCCCCUAGUAACUGCGAGUGAAGCGGGAAAAGCUCAAAUUUGAAAUCUGGCGGUCCUUGCGGCUGUCCGAGUUGUAAUUUAGAGAAGUGUUACCCGUGCUGGACCGUAUACAAGUCCUCUGGAAUGGGGCGUCAUAGAGGGUGAGAAUCCCGUCUUUGAUACGGACUACCAGUGCUUUGCGGUGCGCUCUCGAAGAGUCGAGUUGUUUGGGAAUGCAGCUCAAAAUGGGUGGUAAAUUCCAUCUAAAGCUAAAUACAGGCGAGAGACCGAUAGCGAACAAGUACCGUGAGGGAAAGAUGAAAAGAACUUUGGAAAGAGAGUUAAACAGUACGUGAAAUUGCUGAAAGGGAAACGCUUGAAGUCAGUCGCGUUGGCUCGGAAUCAACCAUGCUCUUGCUUGGUGUACUUCCUUGUCGAUGGGUCAGCAUCAGUUUCGAUCGCUGGAUAAAGGUCAUUGGAAUGUGGCACCCUCGGGUGUGUUAUAGCCUUUGAUCGUAUACAGUGGUUGGGACUGAGGAACUCAGCACGCCGCAAGGCCGGGUUUUUAACCACGUAACGUGCUUAGGAUGCUGGCAUAAUGGCUUUAAUCGACCCGUCUUGAAACACGGACCAAGGAGUCUAACAUGCCUGCGAGUGUUUGGGUGGAAAACCCGAGCGCGUAAUGAAAGUGAAAGUUGAGAUCUCUGUCAUGGAGAGCAUCGACGCCCAUACCUGAUGUUUACUGACGGAUAUGCGGUAGAGCAUGUAUGUUGGGACCCGAAAGAUGGUGAACUAUGCCUGAAUAGGGUGAAGCCAGAGGAAACUCUGGUGGAGGCUCGUAGCGAUUCUGACGUGCAAAUCGAUCGUCGAAUUUGGGUAUAGGGGCGAAAGACUAAUCGAACCAUUAUGGACAAUGCUACUAUGGUGGUUAAGAGGGUGACUGAAAGGUUUGACCCUAGUGAUUGUUGAGGGUUGCGACAUUGUCAAAUUGCGGGGACGUCCUUAGAGCCUUUGCUACCGCCUCUACAUGGAAACAUAGUAGCAGUGCACCAGGUUAAUGACCUCGGGUAUGGUAACAACGCAAAGGAUUGGACAAUCCGCAGCCAAGUCCUAAUGAUCAUCAUCGAUCUAUGGAUGCAGUUCACAGACUAAAUGGCAAUGGGUCUCUCUUUUGAGGCUUAAGAUAUAGUCGGUCCCGUCGCGAAAGCGAACCAACAGAUGAAGAUCAGUGCUAUUCCUCAACCGUUAGAUAGACUGAUCCCGAGCUGUUGGGAGGUAACAAACUCGAUUGUUAC
This 1310-nucleotide ribosomal RNA is filed under the name Porotheleum fimbriatum. RNAcentral describes it as "eukaryotic LSU rRNA". It matches the Rfam family "Eukaryotic large subunit ribosomal RNA", at positions 40 to 1445 of the family's 3401-position model. The record is from RNAcentral. Lineage: Eukaryota; Fungi; Basidiomycota; Agaricomycetes; Agaricales; Porotheleaceae.